ACAUUCCUCUCUCUGGAGAAGUGCUCAGUGAUCCAUUUCCUUCAGUGACUGCCAGGGAGAGCAAGGAGCUUCUGGGACAGGAGGAGCUGGGUUGCUGAAGGGCUCUCCUACACACACAGCUCCUGACUGCGCAUGAAGGAGGAAGGGAGAGAGACAGGUUGAGCAAUACAACAGAAGGUUUUGAUAACCUGUCUUCUGAUGCCAAGGUAAGACAACUAUGAAAAUGUAAAUCAAAUGUUUUUAGCAUAUCAAA
RNAcentral lists this long non-coding RNA (253 nucleotides) under Junco hyemalis (dark-eyed junco). Its description in RNAcentral is "lncRNA (ENSJHYG00000011806.1)". Lineage: Eukaryota; Metazoa; Chordata; Aves; Passeriformes; Passerellidae. The record is from RNAcentral.